Non-coding RNA from Macaca mulatta (Rhesus monkey), 1352 nucleotides. The record is from RefSeq and is a predicted model, not a curated record. NCBI's taxonomy places the organism in Eukaryota, Metazoa, Chordata, Mammalia, Primates, Cercopithecidae.
AUCCUUUGUUCAUUCCAUCAGAUCAUACUGUUUCCAAUUAGCUAGGAGUUAUCUUUAAAGACAGAAAUGAUCUUCAAAAAAAAAAAAAAAAAGAAAUGAAAGCCUUGAGAACUCAAUCAGCACUAAAAUCUUCCUUCCAAUGUUGCGUCUGGAUGAAUAAUUCCAUCCGAAGAGGCAAUGUAUGUGAGUGUAGCUCAUGGGGACUUCAGUUUUCUCACUGCAAGGAGUGGGCCUCCCCUGCUGAAGAUUUCUCCCCUGAACUCUAGCCCCAGCAUUCAAAGCCCUCAAAGCUAAAGGAAGAAAACAGAUCAGACUUCUCUCCCAGGGAAGGCAUGGCCCCACAGCCUGGCUAGACUGUUUUAUGUCUUGCUACCCGUAUUCCAAUGCAGGUGGAAAGUAGACCUUAAAAUAAAAGAAGCAGACAAAGAACUUGCCAAGCUUCCACAUACAACAUAUGCACAUUUGUAGAAAAUAAAAGAGAAACUUCUGAAGCUCAAAGCAAGAAAAUGUUUCCUCUUCAUCCAUCCUCAGAUUCUCUGCUGAAAUAGACCUUCCACAGAUCCCAGUUUGGAAAAAGACAAAGCAAAAUAAAACAAAAUUAAAAAAAAAAAAAAAAAAACUAGCAUCUUUUGCCAUGAGUCCCUAGAUGGCUGCUAAAUUCAACUGGAUCCCAUGGCACCAUGAAAAUGUAGUUAAACAUGUCUAUUAUGAACAGGGAAAAAUAAAUACUAUUAGAAGAUGUGAAUUUUAGUGCCACUUCUGUCAUAAAUCAUGUUGUAUCCAGCAAGCCACCUAAAACUUUUCUGAUAUGAGAAGAGAAAUAAUAAUAUUUACUCUGCCAGUAUGGAAAGACUAUUGGGAUGAGAUUAUGAAAUACUCUGUAAAAAUCUUGGUAAUGAAGGCAAAAUUAUUUAAUUUUAUUUAAGGCAUCAAGCAUCUACCGAGCACCUAUCAGCCCUUAUCUACAAUGCAUGGAAGAGAUGAAAUGGAUAUGAACAUGAUGAAACUUACCCUUGUGGAAAUGUUGAAGAAUGAAUUGAAUGAAAGUAGAAUAUAGGCUGAAGUUCAAUCUAGAGAUUCAUUUGGUUCAUAGGGAAAAAUAAUGAGAAAAGAAAUGAAGGAAGAAAAUGGCACCGUGUGUUUCUGGAACUUGAAAUGAUCCAGCAUUGCAGUUUGAAGAUAGAGUAGUAAGCAGAAACAAAUAUGACUGAGUUUAUGGUACAUAAAGAAAGAUUGUAAAAGAUUGUCAUUCAUUUAUUGAUUCAACAAAUAUUUAUUGAGUGCCUGUCAUGAGCCUGGACUAUACUAGUCAGUCAGUAAACAAAGGUGAAAUAAAGACGUCUACUCCUUGA